AGAGUUUGAUCCUGGCUCAGAUUGAACGCUGGCGGCAUGCUUUACACAUGCAAGUCGAACGGCAGCACGGGGGCAACCCUGGUGGCGAGUGGCGAACGGGUGAGUAAUACAUCGGAACGUAUCCUUGAGUGGGGGAUAACGCAGCGAAAGUUGUGCUAAUACCGCAUGAGCUCUGAGGAGGAAAGUGGGGGACCGUAAGGCCUCACGCUGAAGGGGCGGCCGAUGUCCGAUUAGCUAGUUGGUGAGGUAAAGGCUCACCAAGGCUUCGAUCGGUAGCUGGUCUGAGAGGAUGAUCAGCCACACUGGGACUGAGACACGGCCCAGACUCCUACGGGAGGCAGCAGUGGGGAAUUUUGGACAAUGGGGGCAACCCUGAUCCAGCCAUGCCGCGUGAGUGAAGAAGGCCUUCGGGUUGUAAAGCUCUUUCGUGAGGGAAGAAACGGCCAUAGUGAAUAGCUGUGGUUACUGACGGUACCUCAAGAAGAAGCACCGGCUAACUACGUGCCAGCCGCCGCGGU
RNAcentral lists this ribosomal RNA (518 nucleotides) under uncultured bacterium. RNAcentral's name for it is "bacterial SSU rRNA". It matches the Rfam family "Bacterial small subunit ribosomal RNA", at positions 8 to 521 of the family's 1533-position model. The record is from RNAcentral.